GGCGCGGUUCUCGCCGGUGCGGGCGGCGGCCUGCAAAGCCGACCGAUGUCCGGGUUCGACUCCCGGCCGCGUCU
This 74-nucleotide transfer RNA is filed under the name Actinoallomurus bryophytorum. RNAcentral describes it as "tRNA-Cys". It matches the Rfam family "tRNA". From Rfam's summary of the family: Transfer RNA (tRNA) molecules are approximately 80 nucleotides in length. Their secondary structure includes four short double-helical elements and three loops (D, anti-codon, and T loops). Lineage: Bacteria; Bacillati; Actinomycetota; Actinomycetes; Streptosporangiales; Thermomonosporaceae. The record is from RNAcentral.